Non-coding RNA from Tetraodon nigroviridis (spotted green pufferfish), 46 nucleotides. The record is from Rfam. Lineage: Eukaryota; Metazoa; Chordata; Actinopteri; Tetraodontiformes; Tetraodontidae.
ACAAAGGCUCUUUUAAGAGCCCCUCAAACCUUCUAACAGAAGCUUU